CGUGUCGUGAGAUGUUGGGUUAAGUCCCGCAACGAGCGCAACCCUUGAUCUUAGUUGCCAGCAUUCAGUUGGGCACUCUAAGGUGACUGCCGGUGACAAACCGGAGGAAGGUGGGGAUGACGUCAAACCAUCAUGCCCCUUAUGACCUGGGCUACACACGUGCUACAAUGGACAGAACAAAGGGCAGCGAAACCGCGAGGUUAAGCCAAUCCCACAAAUCUGUUCUCAGUUCGGAUCGCAGUCUGCAACUCGACUGCGUGAAGCUGGAAUCGCUAGUAAUCGCGGAUCAGCAUGCCGCGGUGAAUACGUUCCCGGGCCUUGUACACACCGCCCGUCACACCACGAGAGUUUGUAACACCCGAAGUCGGUGAGGUAACCUUUUAGGAGCCAGCCGCCGAAGGUGGGACAGAUGAUUGGGGU
This 420-nucleotide ribosomal RNA is filed under the name uncultured bacterium. Its description in RNAcentral is "bacterial SSU rRNA". It matches the Rfam family "Bacterial small subunit ribosomal RNA", at positions 1061 to 1481 of the family's 1533-position model. The record is from RNAcentral.